This 272-nucleotide unclassified non-coding RNA is filed under the name uncultured fungus. Its description in RNAcentral is "partial contains 5.8S ribosomal RNA, internal transcribed spacer 2, and large subunit ribosomal RNA". The stretch from base 1 to 52 matches the Rfam family "5.8S ribosomal RNA", at positions 103 to 154 of the family's 154-position model. Lineage: Eukaryota; Fungi. The record is from RNAcentral.
AACGCACAUUGCGCCCUUUGGUAUUCCGAAGGGCAUGCCUGUUCGAGCGUCAUUAUCACCCCUCAAGCCCCGUGCUUGGUGUUGGACGGCCGGUCGAGGGCCCCCUCGACCCCUCCUAAAGACAACGACGGCGGCCUGUGGUUCCCCCGGUACACUGAGCUUCUUACCGAGCACGUACCGGACGAGGGCACCCAGGACCCGGUCUUCUCCUCUCACGAGGAAAUUUUUUCAAGGUUGACCUCGGAUCAGGUAGGAAUACGCGCUGAACUUAA